Molecule: ribosomal RNA, 774 nt
Filed under: uncultured Neocallimastigales
Lineage: Eukaryota; Fungi; Neocallimastigomycota; Neocallimastigomycetes; Neocallimastigales
Description: partial large subunit ribosomal RNA
Rfam family: Eukaryotic large subunit ribosomal RNA
Source: RNAcentral
AGAGAUGUGUGAUGACGCAUAUCAAUAAGCGGAGGAAAAGAAACUAACAAGGAUUCCCUUAGUAACGGCGAGUGAAGCGGGAAGAGCUCAAAUUUGAAAUCUUCAAGGUUCUACCUUGACGAAUUGUAGUUUAUAGAAGUGUUUUCUGUUAGUGGAGUGGCAAAAGUUCCUUGGAAUAGGACAUCAUAGAGGGUGAGAAUCCCGUAUUUGGUCAUUCCUCCUAGCGUUGUGAUACACUUUCAACGAGUCGGAUUGUUUGGGAAUGCAGUCCAAAAUGGGUGGUAAAUUUCAUCUAAAGCUAAAUAUUGGCGAGAGACCGAUAGCGAACAAGUACCGUGAGGGAAAGAUGAAAAGAACUUUGAAAAGGGAGUUAAACAGUACGUGAAAUUGUCAAAAGGGAAGCGUUUGACGCCAGUGUUGUUUUUCCGAAAAUCAAUUACGAAUGUUUUGUUUUUGAGGAGUUAUGACUUCAUCGGCUUGCUCCUUUCUUUAUGAAACUUUCUUAAUGCACUUUUCGGUUAACAAGUCAACAUCAAUUUCUUUUGUUGUAAAAGGGUAUGAGGAAGGUGGCUUUCUUUUCGGAGAAAGUGUUUAUAGCCUUGUGCCUCUGCAAUCGGAGAGAUUGAGGUUUGCAGCGUAGAUCCUUCGGGGUUAGAUACGUUUGUGCUAAGUUAUAGCUUUUCAUAGACAACUUGUUGACUAUGUUUAGUCUUGUAGCUUACUCGCUGACGCUAUUUUACCUACGCUUAGGAUGUUGAACUCUAUCACACACAG